GCCCAGUAGUUUCAGAGCAAAGCUUUUUAGUACUACCGACAAUCAAGACGGAUGAUGAGGAGGAUAGCUCAUUUGACAAUUUUGGGUAGGUGAGUUGCAUCAAUAUUAUACUCUCACAAUAAAAUGGUGUUACCAAGGAAGAAACUACAACAAACUGAAUUAACUGCAACAUAAUCUUAAGGACUGAAAAUAUUUCUAUAUCUCG
Molecule: long non-coding RNA, 205 nt
Filed under: Mytilus galloprovincialis (Mediterranean mussel)
Lineage: Eukaryota; Metazoa; Mollusca; Bivalvia; Mytilida; Mytilidae
Source: RNAcentral